UACGUAGGGAGCAAGCGUUGUCCGGAAUCAUUGGGCGUAAAGCGCGCGUAGGUGGCCCCGUAAGUCAGCUGUGAAAGUCCAAGGCUCAACCUUUGAAAGCCGGUGGAUACUGUGGUACUAGAGUACGGAAGAGGAGAGUGGAAUUCCUGGUGUAGCGGUGGAAUGCGCGGAUAUCAGGAGGAACACCAAUAGCGAAGGCAGCUCGCUGGGACGCUACUGACGCUGAGGCGCGAAAGCGUGGGGAGCGAACAGG
This 253-nucleotide ribosomal RNA is filed under the name uncultured bacterium. RNAcentral describes it as "partial 16S ribosomal RNA". It matches the Rfam family "Bacterial small subunit ribosomal RNA", at positions 524 to 776 of the family's 1533-position model. The record is from RNAcentral.